ACAAACUACACAUGGUACAAGUAACAAUAAAAUCAGUAUCACCAGUAUCACGAAAUAAUAAAAAUCACAUGAGUAUGUUGUUGUUCUUCUUCUUCUUCCCUUCUUCUAGAUCUGCUUCUUCUUCUUCCCUUUUUUCGAAUUAACUUUUUUUUUCUUCUUCUUCCAGACUGGGGUUUUUAAGUCUUUUUUUACUUGAAAUUUUUCAUACUUGAAAUGUAAUUCGAUAUCACAACAUCAAAAUCGAUACCUAUAAAAUCGAGCGCAGUAGAUAGUACCCACUAUCACUGGAAAAUUUAUGAACUCAUAAGUACAUAAGUUAGUAUCAUAGAAAAUUGGCAGGUACAAAACUCUAUACCUUUAAACAUGAAGAGGUACUAACCAACAAACAAAACUUCCCAUAACAUCAAAUGCGGGAUCCAAACAUCCAACUAGUACCACAAACUAAUCAGAGGAACAUAUAGAAGAACAAGAAACUAACCCAGAAAAUAUCAAACUUAUAAAUCUACUAAACAAUCAACUAAUAAACCAAAAACACUAAAAAAAAAAUCAUUCAAAUCCUUAAUACCUGAUUCUUCGAUGGCAGUAUAUUGUCUUCAUCCUCUGGCGGUAUCUCCCCCUUCUCCUUUCUAGGCUUUUUCCUCAUUGUGCAGCGGCAGCAUUUUCUAUCUUCAUCGGACGGGGUUGAAUCAGGUACAUCGGCAAGGUUCUCGACGGAGUCCCCAUCCGAUUCCAACAACUCAGCCAUUGACUUCGGCAUAGUGCGGCGCCGGAUUGACCGACGGUUUCCUCUGGUUGUGGUUCCUGAUCCAUUCAUUGGAGCGCGGCGGGGCGAAAGGAAGAGAAACCACGGCUCGGUGAGCGAAGAGAAACGUGGGUGCGUCGGGGGAAGAGAAACAUGCGGCAGAUUCGGAGC
Molecule: long non-coding RNA, 913 nt
Filed under: Linum usitatissimum (flax)
Lineage: Eukaryota; Viridiplantae; Streptophyta; Magnoliopsida; Malpighiales; Linaceae
Description: long non-coding RNA (LUSI_LNC006690)
Source: RNAcentral